Molecule: ribosomal RNA, 508 nt
Filed under: uncultured bacterium
Lineage: Bacteria
Description: bacterial SSU rRNA
Rfam family: Bacterial small subunit ribosomal RNA
Source: RNAcentral
GGCGGCGUGCCUAAUAACAUAGCAAGUCGAACGCACUCUCGUUUAGAUUGAAGGAGCUUGCUCCUGAUUGAUAAACAUUUGAGUGAGUGGCGGACGGGUGAGUAACACGUGGGUAACCUGACCUAAGUGGGGAUAACAUUUGGAAACAGAUGCUAAUACCGCAUAAAACCUAACACCGCAUGGUGUAGGGUUGAAAGAUGGUUUCGGCUAUCACUUUAGGAUGGACCCGCGGUGCAUUAGUUAGUUGGUGAGGUAAAGGCUCACCAAGACCGUGAUGCAUAGCCGACCUGAGAGGUAAUCGGCCACACUGGGACUGAGACACGGCCCAGACUCCUACGGGAGGCAGCAGUAGGGAAUCUUCCACAAUGGACGAAAGUCUGAUGGAGCAACGCCGCGUGAGUGAAGAAGGUUUCGGAUCGUAAAACUCUGUUGUUGGAGAAGAAUGUAUCUGAUAGUAACUGAUCAGGUAGUGACGGUAUCCAACCAGAAAGCCACGGCUAACUACGUG